RNAcentral lists this ribosomal RNA (497 nucleotides) under uncultured bacterium. Its description in RNAcentral is "partial 16S ribosomal RNA". It matches the Rfam family "Bacterial small subunit ribosomal RNA", at positions 28 to 507 of the family's 1533-position model. The record is from RNAcentral.
GAUGAACGCUGGCGGCGUGCCUAAUACAUGCAAGUCGAGCGAACGGACGAGAAGCUUGCUUCUCUGAUGUUAACGGCGGACGGGUGAGUAACACGUGGAUAACCUACCUAUAAGACUGGGAUAACUUCGGGAAACCGUAGCUAAUACCGGAUAAUAUUUUGAACCGCAUGGUUCAAAAGUGAAAGACGGUCUUGCUGUCACUUAUAUAUGGAUCCGCGCUGCAUUAGCUAGUUGGUAAGGUAACGGCUUACCAAGGCAACGAUGCAUAGCCGACCUGAGAGGGUGAUCGGCCACACUGGAACUGAGACACGGUCCAGACUCCUACGGGAGGCAGCAGUAGGGAAUCUUCCGCAAUGGGCGAAAGCCUGACGGAGCAACGCCGCGUGAGUGAUGAAGGUCUUCGGAUCGUAAAACUCUGUUAUUAGGGAAGAACAUAUGUGUAAGUAACUGUGCACAUCUUGACGGUACCUAAUCAGAAAGCCACGGCUAACUACGUG